CUGGAAUACAGAAGAGUAAAGGGAUAUGAUAUGUGAUUUAUUUUUACAUGAUUAAAAAACAGAUAGAUGCAUAAUACAAGCAGAUGAGCAGUGACAGAGAGAGAGAGAGAGGGAGAAAGAAACAAAAGAAGUAGAAUAUGCAACUGAUAAAUUUUGGUUCUUACAGGACUGGAUCAGUUACCUCAAGAGCAAGUUGUGACGCAAGCCGCCUCUCGUGUCUUGACCCUUGUGUAUGUGCCUACUUGCCCUUCCACUUCCCACCAUGAGUCGACACAGCACAAGGAAUAAAGCUUACUGCUAUGCUGUACGCUAAAUAGCAUGAACCCCAAGGAAAAGCUGGUUACUGGAGCUACAGUAAAUGUGUUUGUGCUUUGCUCAGGAAGAAAAGUCCAUCUUCAAGACACUCCAGUUUGGAAUGAAUUUGUAUUAAAGUAUAAUCACUGAG
Molecule: long non-coding RNA, 445 nt
Organism: Fukomys damarensis (Damara mole-rat)
Lineage: Eukaryota; Metazoa; Chordata; Mammalia; Rodentia; Bathyergidae
Source: Ensembl